CAAGGAAUUUUCGUCAAUGGGGGCAACCCUGAACGAGCAACGCCGCGUGGGCGAAGAAGUCCUUCGGGAUGUAAAGCCCUUUUCCCUUUGAAGAAAGAAAGACGGUAGGAGGGGAAUAAGCAUCGGCUAACUACGUGCCAGCAGCCGCGGUAAUACGUAGGAUGCAAGCGUUGUCCGGAAUUAUUGGGCGUAAAGAGCGCGCAGGCGGUCUAUCAAGUCAGAUGUGAAAUAUCCCGGCUUAACCGGGAGGGGUCAUUUGAAACUGAUAGACUAGAGUACAGCAGAGGAUAGUGGAAUUCCCGGUGUAGUGGUGAAAUGCGUAGAUAUCGGGAGGAACACCAGUGGCGAAGGCGACUAUCUGGGCUGAAACUGACGCUGAGGCGCGAAGGCUAGGGGAGCAAACAG
This 405-nucleotide ribosomal RNA is filed under the name uncultured bacterium. RNAcentral's name for it is "bacterial SSU rRNA". It matches the Rfam family "Bacterial small subunit ribosomal RNA", at positions 355 to 775 of the family's 1533-position model. The record is from RNAcentral.